GUGCUCACUUCAACAGCACAUAUACUAAACUCAGAAUGCACAGAGAAGAUUGGCACGGUCCCUAUGUAAAGUUGACAUGCAAAUUUGUGAAAUAUUCCAUAGAUAG
Molecule: small nuclear RNA, 106 nt
Organism: Nycticebus coucang (slow loris)
Lineage: Eukaryota; Metazoa; Chordata; Mammalia; Primates; Lorisidae
Source: RefSeq, a predicted model, not a curated record